CAAGUCGAGCGGAACGAGUUAUCUGAACCUUCGGGGAACGAUAACGGCGUCGAGCGGCGGACGGGUGAGUAAUGCCUAGGAAAUUGCCCUGAUGUGGGGGAUAACCAUUGGAAACGAUGGCUAAUACCGCAUGAUGCCUACGGGCCAAAGAGGGGGACCUUCGGGCCUCUCGCGUCAGGAUAUGCCUAGGUGGGAUUAGCUAGUUGGUGAGGUAAGGGCUCACCAAGGCGACGAUCCCUAGCUGGUCUGAGAGGAUGAUCAGCCACACUGGAACUGAGACACGGUCCAGACUCCUACGGGAGGCAGCAGUGGGGAAUAUUGCACAAUGGGCGCAAGCCUGAUGCAGCCAUGCCGCGUGUGUGAAGAAGGCCUUCGGGUUGUAAAGCACUUUCAGUCGUGAGGAAGGUGGCGUCGUUAAUAGCGGCGUUGUUUGACGUUAGCGACAGAAGAAGCACCGGCUAACUCCGUGCCAGC
Molecule: ribosomal RNA, 474 nt
Filed under: bacterium 1911-S2-05-1
Lineage: Bacteria
Description: bacterial SSU rRNA
Rfam family: Bacterial small subunit ribosomal RNA
Source: RNAcentral